AUCAGUGAAAGCAGGCAAUGUGAGCUGCUGAUGUGCAGAAGACUAGGCAAUAUUUUUGUAACUGCCCUUGUUGUUAAGUUUUGUGUAGCCAACCCGUUAUUCUCUUUGGUAAUUUUGUUUAUUUUGAAAAACUGAAAAAUGAAUCUUGCAAAUGGAGAAACAUGAAAAAGUAGAAAGUAAAAACACAUCUUUGAAACGGGGGCUGCUUGCAGAAUACAUUUCCUGUGUUUGACAGCAAAGACGGAGUAGAAGAAGCACCCGUUUAAACUCAAUGCUCUUUUGUUCCACGUUAUUGUAUUUGAUUGAUACGGGAUCUAUACAGUUUGAAAUUCUCAUUAAAAAAAAAAACAAGAACAAAACAAACAAACAAAUAAAAAAACGUAAUUGAGAUGUGUGACUUAAUGCCAGCCACGCAACCCACCGAAAAAAUGGGCAAAAUGAAAAAGUUGCGAAGAACUUUGUCAGAGAGUUUCAGCCGGAUUGCUUUCAAGAAAGAUGACAAUGACUUUGAUGAGAUAUGUGUCACAAAGAUGUCUACACGCAAUUGCCAGGGAAUGGACUCAAAACCCCUGGACACCAUUCCUGAGGACAAGAAGGUCAAGGUUCAAAGGACACAAAGCAACUUUGACCCCUUUGAAAAGCCAGCCAAUCAAGUGAAGAGGGUCCAUUCAGAAAACAAUGCUUGCAUUAACUUCAAGGGAUCUUCCACAGGAAAGGAAUCCCCAAAACUCAGGCGACAUUCUAGCCCAAGCUCGCCAACAAGCCCAAAGUUUGGAAAAACAGACUCCUAUGAAAAACUUGAAAAACUAGGAGAGGGGUCAUACGCUACAGUAUACAAGGGCAAGAGCAAGGUAAAUGGGAAGUUAGUUGCACUUAAAGUGAUCAGGUUACAAGAAGAAGAAGGGACUCCUUUUACAGCAAUCAGGGAAGCCUCGCUUUUGAAAGGCCUGAAACACUCCAACAUAGUGCUGCUACACGACAUCAUCCACACAAAAGAAACACUAACUCUGGUUUUCGAGUAUGUGCACACUGAUUUAUGCCAGUACAUGGACAAGCACCCUGGGGGUCUUAAUCCAGACAACGUGAAGUUAUUUUUAUUUCAAUUGCUCCGGGGAUUGUCCUACACCCACCAGCGGUACAUUCUGCACAGGGACCUGAAACCUCAGAACCUGCUGAUCAGCGACACAGGAGAAUUGAAGCUCGCAGACUUCGGUCUUGCUAGAGCCAAGUCAGUCCCUAGCCACACAUACUCUAAUGAGGUGGUAACCCUCUGGUACAGACCUCCAGAUGUUCUCCUGGGCUCCACAGACUACUCCACCAGCCUUGACAUGUGGGGAGUAGGAUGCAUCUUUGUAGAAAUGAUCCAAGGAAUUGCAGCAUUUCCAGGAAUGAAGGAUAUCCAAGACCAGCUUGAAAGGAUAUUUUUGAUUCUGGGGACCCCAACAGAGGAUAUAUGGCCUGGUGUCCACUCCCUGCCUCAUUUCAAGCCAGAAUGGUUUACCCAGUAUAGUCCAAAGAAACUGAGGCAAGUGUGGAAUAAACUAGGUUAUGUGAAUCAUGCAGAGGAACUAGCCACCAGGUUCCUCCAGUGCUUCCCAAAGAACAGACUGUCAGCACUGGCAGCCAUGAACCACGAGUACUUCAGUGAUCUUCCCCCACGGCUCUGGGAGCUGUCAGACAUGUCCUCUGUUUUCACUGUUCACGAUGUCAAGUUACAACCUGAAACAGGAGACGGCAUAAAGGUUUGUGGGAAAACCAACAGUCACAGUAAAGGUUCAUCCAACAACCAACACUGACAGGACACCAUAUUCCACAGAGCAGGAAUUCAGACUUUUGCAAAGGAUAUUCAUCAACCAAGGAGUCCGAGCUCUGACAAGCAGAAAGAAUAGAAAUGGAUUACUCUAUUUAGAUCCCUACGGUCAACAGUACAUAGGAGAGCAACUGAUUUAAAGAUGAUUUCAAUUGACAAGACUUCCCUCCUUCCCUACUGUGUGUCUAUUCUAUACCUGUGUUUUAUGAUGUUGACAGUCAGAUUCCAGUGUGCAUGGAACACCUUCUGGUUUUAAUUGGUUGGUUGUAUAGUUUGUUUACUGUUACAUGGAAUGUGCCCCCCCCCCCCCCCCUUUAUUGAAAAUGAUUCCUUACAGUGAAUCAGUGUUUUAGUAAAUUUUUUCGUUAACAGCUCUUUUCAUAAGCAGGCUUGUUAGUGUAUUUGAAUGUCACCAAUAAUACUUUUACAUAAAACCAGUCCACUGUGACAAAAAGGCAUUACAUUAUUCUUUAUGCCAUUUAAUUUUUUAAAGGACUGUUUCUGACAGUGCUGUGGAAUAUGAUCAAGGCAAUAAUAAUUUAGUUUAUUCUUCAAACAGCAACAGAAAGUAUUUUUUGGACAGCUCUAUACUAUAUUUAAGGCUAAAUCAGUUUGAGGUUUUUGCUACCAUGAUCUAAUAGGAAUUAAAAAUGUAUACUUUAGCAUUUGUUGAAAACCAUUAAAAUGUAUUGGGACAUACAUUAUAGGCUAUUAUUUUUAAUGUUUUGUUUUUCAUAUUGUUCCCCCCCUCCCUCCCUCCCUCUCUCUCUCUCUCUCUCCCUCCCUCCCUCCCUCCCUCCCUCCCUCCCUCUCUCUCUCUCCCUCCCUCCCUCCCUCUCUCUCUCUCCCUCCCUCUCUCUCUCUCCCUCUCUUCCUCUCUCUCUCCCUCUCUCUCUCUCUAUAUAUAUAUAUAUAGACACAGUAGAUGUGUGUAUAUAAACAUGCAUAUUAUAUACUGUUGGUAAACAUAUAAACCAUAUUUAUUACACAAAUAUUGAUAUAUAAGUAUACAUUAAAGCAGAGUCGAAUACAUUUAAAAAAAUGUUGACAGUGGAAGGAGAUCAUGUUUCCCUGAUCCAUGCAACUUCAAACUUAUUGGAACCCCUAAGGGAAUACUUUCCCCAUUACCAAGGAAAGAGACCCCUGCUGUGCAUGACGAAGAUACAGAAAAAUACUCUCAUAUGUGCUGGAAUUUCAACCCUUAACAAAUAAGGGGAGGGGCCUUAACCUAAAGUGGUAUAUCUGAAAAUAUUUUCUGAAUUAUUUAUUUUCCUGUGCAUACUCUUAACUAAUACAUAAAAAACUGUAAACAUCGUAUCAUGUUUACAUUUUAUGUAAGAAAGCAUAUUAGACAACCAAAUAUAAAAUGCUACCGUAAUAUUUAGAUAAGUAUUGGUCUACACAUGAUGCGGGCCAUACAUUUUGUACCUAGAUUUAGUGAAAGGAACUUCAUCUCCUACGUAAACUAGAAUACAUCUUUUCAUUUGUAUUCAGUUAAAAAGCUAUAUUACACUCCCAGAGCCAAACUGCCAUUUAGUUAUUGCAUGUCCCAUGGAUAAACACAUUCUAUGUGUACAAGUGGCAAUCUAGCUCUUUACAAUCCCAUUGUCAGUCAUUAAGCACUAAGAAACCAGUGUUGUUUUGAAAUUAAAUGAAGAAGUCUGGUAACACUUUUCAACUUCAUAUGAGCAAAAGUUGAAUUAUUAUAAACUAAUGAUCACUUCAUUGGAACUUCAGUGUAAUUACUAUUAACAUCAAAGGCUGAAGUUAGUACUGGAGUAUCUAAAUCCAUUAAAUUGAAUAAUAUAUACAGACAAGAAGUUUCCCAUGAUGAUAUUGUAAAAAUUAUAUUAAAAAUGAUAUUAAACUGUCAGCUUGUUUAUCAUAUGUUGCAAUAUAGUAGGUAGUAUGUUUAUUAUGGAGAAAAAUAAACAAAAAAAAAACUAUUAGGAUAUGUAGGAAUGAAAACAAAA
Molecule: RNA transcript, 3783 nt
Organism: Acipenser ruthenus (sterlet)
Lineage: Eukaryota; Metazoa; Chordata; Actinopteri; Acipenseriformes; Acipenseridae
Gene name: cyclin-dependent kinase 14-like
Exons: 16
Source: RefSeq, a predicted model, not a curated record